CAGGUAGGUGGUCUUAUUUGUCUGGGGUGAAAUCCCUGAGCUUAACUCAGGAAGUGCCUUAGAAACGGUAAGACUGGAGUACUGGAGAGGGUCGUGGAAUUCCCGGUGUAGCGGUGAAAUGCGUAGAGAUCGGGAGGAACACCAGAGGCGAAGGCGGCGACCUGGACAGUGACUGACACUCAACUGCGAAAGCGUGGGGAGCAAACAGGAUUAGAUACCCUGGUAGUCCACGCUGUAAACGAUGGGUACUAGAUUUGAUGGGAUUUGACCCCUGUUGAAUCGGCGAUAACGCACUAAGUACCCCGCCUGGGAAGUACGGUCGCAAGACUAAA
This 332-nucleotide ribosomal RNA is filed under the name uncultured bacterium. RNAcentral describes it as "bacterial SSU rRNA". It matches the Rfam family "Bacterial small subunit ribosomal RNA", at positions 568 to 898 of the family's 1533-position model. The record is from RNAcentral.